AUUGAACGCUGGCGGCAUGCUUUACACAUGCAAGUCGAACGGCAGCGCGGGCUUCGGCCUGGCGGCGAGUGGCGAACGGGUGAGUAAUGCAUCGGAACGUGCCCAGCAGUGGGGGAUAGCCCGGCGAAAGCCGGAUUAAUACCGCAUACGACCUGUGGGUGAAAGCGGGGGACUGAAAGGCCUCUCGCUAUUGGAGCGGCCGAUGUCGGAUUAGCUAGUUGGUUGGGUAAAGGCUUACCAAGGCGACGAUCCGUAGCUGGUCUGAGAGUACGACCCGCCACCCUAAGACUGAAAGAGCGCCCAGACUCCUACGGGAGGCAGCAGUGGGGGAUUUUGGACAAUGGGGGCCACCCUGAUCCAGCCAUGCCGCGUGCGGGAAGAGGGCCUUCGAGUUGUAUACCGCUUUUGUUCGGGAAGAAAUCCUCUGGGCUAGUUCCCCGGGUGGAUGACGUUACCGGAAGAAUAAGCACCGGCUAACUACGUG
Molecule: ribosomal RNA, 484 nt
Filed under: uncultured bacterium
Lineage: Bacteria
Description: partial 16S ribosomal RNA
Rfam family: Bacterial small subunit ribosomal RNA
Source: RNAcentral